Molecule: long non-coding RNA, 4684 nt
Organism: Megalobrama amblycephala (Wuchang bream)
Lineage: Eukaryota; Metazoa; Chordata; Actinopteri; Cypriniformes; Xenocyprididae
Exons: 6
Source: RefSeq, a predicted model, not a curated record
UUACCCUCUUGGUACAAAUUUACUUUUUGUUCAAAUCUAAUGGCAUUACUAAACUAAUAGCAAUUAGAAAAACUCUGGACAUUUUUCAUACUUGGUUUAUAAUUUUUGUCAUUGUCACUGAAGCUAGAAUAACUGUUCUAGACACAUUUAUCUUUUCACAGAAAAAAAAAAAAAACUACAGUCCUUAAGUGGGGCAUUUUCCCCCACUGUACCUUACAGAAUAAGCUGUAUUUUUUUUCUAUGAACCCUUCUAAACAUACUGUAGGAGCCAAAUUAGGAGUAUGGCCCUUUAAUUACAGCCAGCGGAAGUGAAUGUUAGUGACACCUGUUGAUUGCAUCAGGUCCUAUGCUGGUGGUAGAUAGAAGCACGUUAUGCAGGAGCAUGGUAAUCAAAGACGCCAAGCCGUUAUAGUUUUUCAACGGUGGAAAGUUACUAAAGCAACGCACUUUAUUUGAUUUGUUUGGAAUACCAUGGUAUGUCCUUAUAUUUGUUUGAAUCUGCGCAUUGGAUUCAAUCACACGUCAAUUAUACAAUGAAUCAACAACAGCACUGCACAAUUACACAUCCCGUAACUUCAAGCAAAUUUCAAGUAUCGACAGUAAUUGCCAGAUUGAGGAUCAACAACAAAAAUGGUUUGUGAUAUAGCAUGCAGAUACUAGAAAGAUAAACAAAUACUGUAUGAAUCAAUGACAUACCCAAACAUAAGCUCAAUCAUAUAUACACAAUAUAAACAAUACCUGGCUUUUUAAGGUGUAGUACAGAACAUAUUUGCACAUUAGUGUAAAUGAAGAUCAUAGUGUUUUCACUCACCACAAACUUCCAGUGCACAUUGCCAGUAUUUACAAAAGUGAUUACACCAUUGUAAUCCUCAAAGUUCACCUGUGUGGCAAAAAUGACAAAGUUAAUGACAAUUCAAGCAAUUGUGAUAGGGUAGAUGUUCAGUCAAAACACUUCUGUAACUCUUUCACUCACUUUUCUCAACCCUUGUCGAGCCAUCUGUUCUCUUUUGCCACGCAAAAUGACACCAGUGAUGUAAUGACUUAACUGAAAGAUCUUACCAGUUGCAUCACAAGAAUUGAGAACAGUGCGGAAGUAGCUCUCAAUUGCCUGAAUGAGAGGUUGAAAAGUUAAAAGCAUAUUGUAUUUCAAAUCACAUUAUUUGUUUUAUUUAAGUCUUAAAUACUUCUCACACACAAACUCAAACCAAAUGCCACAUUUUGAACUGUGCAUUUAUUAUAUAUAUAUAUAUAUAUAUAUAUAUAUAUAUAUAUAUAUAUCAUGAACUUACCUCCCCAACUAACAAUUCGUGUGGCCUCAAAGUUUGAAAAUCCCUGAGGUGCAACAGGUACUCCUGUUUCCUGUCAGGGGCUCUUACAAUCACCACAAUAAGGUCAGUAGGAUCACUUUGCCAUAGCAUGUCAACCUGUAAUAAUACUCAGUUAAAGUAGUGUUGCUUUUGCUUGUAACAUUGCAUGCAUUACAAUAUACACUUUAAUAAUAUUUACUUUUAUUACCUCUUCCUCCACAGGAACUACCUUUGAGGAAAGAUCACAGGGGACCAAUUUUGACCUGCUUUCUUGGCCGUACCCAUCUAUGCAUGUCACAUCCUUUUGGUUAAUCUGUGUCUUUUUCUGGGGGGCUGGCACACAAGGAGGAGGGGAAUGCAUGGUUUUUUAUUAUUUUUUUAAACAGCGUGUCUAAAAUUUUAACAUGCCAGAAAGCAGGCAGCCAGACAUUAAGGUGUAUGACCAGUCAGACAGAAGUUGACACAGAGGUUUUUGAAGAAGUAGUGAAGGAGUCACCUGGAACUCUGAGAAUCAUGCUGGGCAAUGGAGGACUUGGUAUUCAUUCAGACAAUUCACAAAUUAGUUUAUUUAGUUUAAAGGCCGGAAUGAGAAAAUUUAUUGUCUUAAAAUACCAGUAACUUUUUCUUGUAAUAUGUUUCUUAAUUUUGUACCAAUUUCAUAAUGAACAGCCUCUCAAUUAUCAUCAUGCUCGGGUACAUCUGAUGACACCGUCAUCCUGAAUUUCACAAUGUGUGACCCUGUUGAAGAAGAAGCCACUGCCGAAGGAAGACAGCCUAAAAGGCCAUGCCACAUAAACUGAGGCAAAAGUGCCUGGUGGUGAACAAAUUAUGCAAGAGUAUGGAAAAACCAAAUCCCUGACAGAUGCCACCAGAAGACAGAUGAAUAACAUACUUGCUGCUGAGAUGCCAGAAACACACGGAUAGAACAAUAUUUCAGAUUUCUGUUUGGUGAGGCCACGGCCAUCAAAUUCUGGAGAAGUGGCCAACCACUUUUAAAGCAAAAGUAAUAAAGGAAAGCCACGGACUUGUACCCACCACAGAACUCUUGGAUUUGAUGCGCAAUGCUGAGUCAGCUGCUGAAGUUGAGAAUAGUAUGAAUGGAACUGUUUUACUUGUUGUUGUGGGUUAUGUAGGCUGGGACAGUGACAUGUCUGCCAUCUUGCUGCUGCUACAUCUGCUACCACCAUCUGCACAAGGUAGAAAGAGGCCGGGAAAGCUUUCUGCGUAUCAAGCUGUAGAUCAGCUCAUAAGAUUUCAAAAGGCCUUUUGACAUAGAAAUGUCAUAUGGAGGAAAUGACACUCUACUUGUUGUGCCAUAUUGCUUUCUCUGGUAAACAUUUUUAUGAUGUUAUACAUGUUUCGGUCAGAGACAAGGCAAUGGGUUUGCAAUGUAAAUUCAAUGACAUUGAAAUGCUUUAUUUUUUACAAUAAAUUGUGAGUUCUGUGAUCUAGUGUUAUUGUGCUUGUUUUUAUUUGGAUAGUAGUUGAUAGUUCUAUAAUUCAGUAACACUGCAUUUUAUGAUUUAUGUAUUUGUUUUAAAAAAAACACUGUAGAGAAAUGAAAAGUAAAUAUUACACUUUGUCUUUUUUAAAAGUAAAAUUGUAGAUAAAUUAACUUUUUACUGUGUAAUUAUAUUACUCUUAACAGUGUGAUUAAACUACAGUGUUAAUAUACUUUUAUACUUUUAUACUACUUUUUAUACUUUUACACAUUUCAUUGCUAUUUUUUACACAAUAUUGAGUAGAAUUAACUCUAAAAACUUGACACUGACCAAAGAGUAAAUUUUACAGUGAUUUCGAGUGGGACCAAAUGUUAUCUGAAACAGAGUCAAAUUCAACUCUUUAGGAGUUAAAUUAACACUUCUGUUUUUAUGCAUUUCUAGAAACAUGGAUUAAAACCCAUAGAGGCAGUGAUACAUCUGGACCAAACAAUUGUACAUUUAAGACUUGUAGUAUGUUCUUUAGUGUCAAAUAAUUAUUUUACAACUACUUUUAAAGCGGUGUGACCCUCCAUUCAAAAGCUACUGAACCGGAAAAUGUAAGGAAACCCAUAUAAUACAGUGUAACAGUGUUACCUGUUAUCAGGCUAUUUUUGAUCGUAUUCACCACUAGGGUGUGCUAGAGUGUUAAAGCCCCAGGUAUUUAAUCAGUUGGGAGUGUAGAAGAAGUCAGGUUGUUUGGAAGAGGGAAGCAUGGGCUUACCCCCUAUGGCUUACCCUAGCACCUCCAGCAAAACUCAUUGGAGUCCUGAUUGAGAAACUUUGUUUCCAGUUCAAUUAUGUAAGUUUUGUUUAUCUUUGUGUCAUACAUCUGUUUUCACUUGAUGUAUAUAAUUUAUGUGAGGGUUUCUUUAGCUAAUGGUAGAUUUCUUUUCUUUUUGUAGAUGGACUCUUUAAAUGUUCCUUUAUAUUUUUGUGUCUUUAAUCUGUAUGAGUAGUUGCAAGGACACUACUUACAGUAUAUGGACAUCAAGUGUUUCUCCCCAUUGGAUGGUUCACUACAUUACUUUGUGGAUUAUCAAAUGUCCUGAGUACAAGGAUUUGACUGUGGGCUUCCAUGUUGGCUGGAUGCUUUGAAGAGCACUUGAGGAGGGUUCACUUUUUGUGGGAAAGUUUUUUUUUUUUUUUUUUGGUUCAUUUUCAAUGGGACAUGGAUAUUAUCCUGAACCUUGACUAUUCAACGUGUUUGGGGAUGGUUCUAGAUUUACCCAAAGAAUCAUUCAUCUACAACUGUGAACUGAUCAGAUAAGCUUUGUUUUCCAUCGUCAUUGCCAUACUUUUCCUGUUAUUUCACAUUACUUUAUAGACAAUCUACAAGUAUAUUCUCUUGAUUUACUGUACUGGUUUUAUUUCAGUUCAUUCUUCUUUUCAUGUACGUACAUUGCUUCAUUUGUUUGUUUUUUUUUCACAUUCAAUUUAUAUAAAGGUGUAGAAAUACAAGCCUUGUCUUUGGUGUUUGUGACAAUACACUGGGAAAUAGAUUUAAUACAUAUUUUUAGCAGCGUUACGUUAAUAGUUGGUGGGCCCCUCCUGUAUUUCAGAUACGUAUAACUGCUGAUAGUCGUUAUAACAGUGAUGGUAGAAAUUGACCAUAUCGAGCAAAUAAUUGUCCAUUUAAGACUUGUAGUAUGUUCUUUAGGGUCAGAUAAUUAUUUUAAAACUUAUUUUGUAAUGGUAUGACACUCCAUUUAAAAGCUAUUGAGCUUGAAGGUGUGUCAAUGAAGAAACCCAUAGAAUAGACUGAUUUGUGGAAAUUGAACUUCUUGAGUAAAUUCUUCCACAUUUAAGACUUGUAGUAUGUUCUUUAGGGUCAGAUAAUUAUUUUAAAACUUAUUUUGUAACAGUGUGACCCUCCUUUCAAAAACUAUAGAACAGGAA